UUUGGGAGGCUGAGGCAGGCAGAUCACCUAAGGCCAGGAAUUCGACACCAGCCUGGCCAACGUGGCAAAACCCGUCUCUACUAAAAAUACAAAAAUUAGCCGGGCGUGGUGGUGUGCGCCUGGAAUCCCAGCUACCCAGGAGGCUGAGGCAGGAGAAAUGCUGGAACCCGGGAGGCAGAGGCUGCAGUGAGCUGAGAUCAUGCCACUACUGCACUCCAGCCUGGGUGACACAGCAAGACUCCCUCUAAAAAAAGAAAAAAAGAAAAGAAAAGAAAAGAAAAUGAUAUAUCCAUGAUGAAUUAAAAUGGAGUGGAACCCACUGAUGGUAUGCAGCUGAUAAGACGCUAUAGAGAAAUGAUAUCCGGACACAUGGUGAGACUUUUUCUCCUCUGUAAAUCUCAAUUCUUGUGAUUCUUUCAAAGGGAAAGCCACAGAAGGUACCAGUUAUCCACUCACUGACUUAGGUGCCUCCACUAGAAUUCUCAGCACGUUUUUGCAGAAGCAAAGGAAAAGUAAACCGCUGGUUUAGAGUCUUUGGAAGGCAAUUGUAUCUGACUAGAAUUUAAUAUUAUUGUUUUUCUUUCAUUGUAUUGCAUUUAUCUGUAUGGCUAGUUAAACUGAUUUUCCAUUUAAAAGUAGUAAUGCAUUUUUUUAUAAUUACAUUGUUUUAAGUAAACAAGAAUUAUUCAAAGGACAAAAACACUAGCACAGAUGGCAUUCAAUGAUUGCAGAUAUCAUAAAGAUAGUUCAUGAAUGACAAAGAUUUGAGAAGUACUGUGUUCACGAUGCUUCCUGGAAGAGGUGGGUUAUACAGUGUUUCUUAGAGAAAGGGAUAGGGGUCUACUGCUAGGAGGGAAAGAUGAAGCUACUUAGGGGGACUAGGAAACACGCAGUUGGCCUGCCCUCUGCUUGGAGAUCACAGCCAAGGAAACACAGGAGAGGCACCCCCUGGAGGAGCUCCGUGGGCUGCAGGGCUGACGUGGCCCAGGCUGGGCAACAAGAGCGAAACCCCAUCUCAAAACCACAACAACAACAACAGGACAACAGAGAUGGACGACGGAUCGGGAAAGCCAACCAGACAGCGUGAGGCCAGGACGGAAAGAGGCACAGGGAGCUCUGCUCAGUGUCGCUACAGGGGAUCUCUCAGGCUCACAACGGGCCACUCCUCUAGGGAAGUUCUGGUCUCAUCAUGAUCCUUGUUUGGUCUCACUCCCCAUGUCCUUCUCUGUCCCUCCUCCAACUGCCAUUUAUUUAUUUAACUGAAAAAGUACCAAUCACCCACAUAGGCAUGACAUACUCAUCCAUGUACCCAUUUCUUAAAAUUGAUCAUUGUUAACAUUUGGUGUAAUUUGCUUUAUUUAUUUUUAAUGAAAUAAAUAAAACUUUACAGAAAAUGCUUUAUUUUUCUCUUUGUUCCCUCCCCAUCCUAUAUUUUUCUCCUAAAAAACCCUAUUAUCAGAAAUAUUAGUGUGUAUUCCCAGUUUCGACUUUUUAUUUUAUUACACACACACUCCCACACAUAGCUGUGACAAUGAACUUCACAUAGUAUGGUUCUGUAUUUUCUCUUUGUUUUUCAAACUUACAUAAGUAUUUUACUAUUUCUCAUGGAAAAACUCACUUUUCCCAUCCAACGUUAUGUUUCCUUAAGAUCUCUCUAUGUUGAUAUAAAGAAAUCUAGCUCAUUCUUUUUAAUGAAAAUAAAGUAUAUUUUAUGAAUGUAACUCAUGCUAACCAUGGCAAUAAAAGCUCCAUCAAGCAUGCAUUUAGUU
RNAcentral lists this long non-coding RNA (1769 nucleotides) under Homo sapiens (human). Its description in RNAcentral is "long non-coding RNA NONHSAT190987.1". Lineage: Eukaryota; Metazoa; Chordata; Mammalia; Primates; Hominidae. The record is from RNAcentral.